CUCACGGCCUAUCAGCUUGUUGGUGGGGUAAUGGCCUACCAAGGCGACGACGGGUAGCCGGCCUGAGAGGGUGACCGGCCACACUGGGACUGAGACACGGCCCAGACUCCUACGGGAGGCAGCAGUGGGGAAUAUUGCACAAUGGGCGCAAGCCUGAUGCAGCGACGCCGCGUGAGGGAUGACGGCCUUCGGGUUGUAAACCUCUUUCAGCACGGAAGAAGCGAAAGUGACGGUACGUGCAGAAGAAGCGCCGGCUAACUACGUGCCAGCAGCCGCGGUAAUACGUAGGGCGCAAGCGUUGUCCGGAAUUAUUGGGCGUAAAGAGCUCGUAGGCGGUUUGUCGCGUCUGCUGUGAAAGCCCGGGGCUUAACCCCGGGUGUGCAGUGGGUACGGGCAGACUUGAGUGCAGUAGGGGAGACUGGAACUCCUGGUGUAGCGGUGAAAUGCGCAGAUAUCAGGAAGAACACCGAUGGCGAAGGCAGGUCUCUGGGCUGUUACUGACGCUGAGGAGCGAAAGCAUGGGGAGCGAACAGGAUUAGAUACCCUGGUAGUCCAUGCCGUAAACGUUGGGCACUAGGUGUGGGGGACAUUCCACGUUUUCCGCGCCGUAGCUAACGCA
Molecule: ribosomal RNA, 619 nt
Filed under: Kocuria sp.
Lineage: Bacteria; Bacillati; Actinomycetota; Actinomycetes; Micrococcales; Micrococcaceae
Description: bacterial SSU rRNA
Rfam family: Bacterial small subunit ribosomal RNA
Source: RNAcentral